GGCAGAGAGAGCCCGGCCCCCGUGUGCGAACACGAGGAAAGUCCCCCCACCGUCCGGACGGGUGACCGGGCGCAAGCCCGGAGUCGGAGACGGCUGGCUCUGGAACAGAAACGAGACCACUCGGCCCGACCGAUGAGGUGUGCGAACCCGAGCGCGAGCGAGGGGAGUUGACCCACCGAGGGUAGCGUGAUCGCGAAGGGACCACGGAGCUGCGAGCGGCGUCCGCCGCGCGCCUUCGAGGCGCUUCGCGUCUCGCCGACGGCGUGCGGUUCCACCGGACGCCCUACGGGACCCGUCGGGUCCCGCGACGGCCGAGAACGGAUGGAACGGCGAAUCCCCACCGGUGCAAGUCCGCCUCGUCAAGGUAGUCCGGACGCGGAGGUGGACGCUCAGCCGAAUGCCGGGACGAACAGAAGGGGGCUUACUCCUCUCAGCC
This is an RNase P RNA of 436 nucleotides. It matches the Rfam family "Archaeal RNase P". From Rfam's summary of the family: Ribonuclease P (RNase P) is a ubiquitous endoribonuclease, found in archaea, bacteria and eukarya as well as chloroplasts and mitochondria. Its best characterised activity is the generation of mature 5'-ends of tRNAs by cleaving the 5'-leader elements of precursor-tRNAs.